This 3581-nucleotide long non-coding RNA is filed under the name Sus scrofa (pig). RNAcentral describes it as "lncRNA (ENSSSCG00005032373.1)". The record is from RNAcentral. Lineage: Eukaryota; Metazoa; Chordata; Mammalia; Artiodactyla; Suidae.
GCAUUUGCGUCUAAGGAGGUGCGGACUUUCGAACGCCGCAGUAGUUACGCGUCCCGCGGACCCUGUCUGAUUCUGAAAGAACAGACACACCGUGUGCGGGCCUCGUCAACUCCUGCCCGCCUCUCUGGCAUUUACGUGGGGCCUAUGCUUUUUCUGAGAUUUUCUCCUGGAAUCGCGGGGUCAGAGCUGGACCAGUGCUUGAGGUCACUUUCUUUUAAAAUAGAAAUGUAAGGUCCAAGGAAGAAAAACGCACUUACUGGAGGAGGCUGAUGAGAGAGGUGGUGUAUCACUGCCCGCAGAGGGGAAGUCGGGCCACACCCUCCACAAAAGAAGUUCCCAGUCUAGGGGUCAAAUCAGAGCUGUAGCCGCCAGCCUAUGCCAGAGCCACAGCAACUCAGGAUUCGAGCCGUGUCUGCGAUCUACACCACAGCUCACCGCAACGUGGGAUCCUCAACCCACUGAGUGAGGCCUGGGAUCAAACCCACAACCUCAUGGCUCCUAGUCAGAUUCAUUUCCACUGCACCACUACGAGAACUCCAAGACUACCUGUCAUUUGAGACAGUUCAGCCAGCCUGGAUUCACAACCUCAUUCCACCCCUUAUUAGCUCCUAUAGCUUUAGACAAUAUUUUUGACCUCUCAUUUUUACCCUGCUGUGAAAUUGGCAUAUUUUCUCAUCCAUGAAAUUGGCACUUUUGCCUUAUGGAGAUGUGGUUUUAAAGGAGACAGUACAUAUAAAAAUUGUUCAAGGAGUUCCCAUUGUGCUCAGUGGGUUAAGGACCUGAUAUAGUCUCUGUGAGGAUGCAGAUUCCAUCCUUGUCCUCACGCAGGGGGUUAAGAAUUUGGCAUUGCCACAAGCUGCAGCGUAGGUUGCAGAUGCAGCUCAACUCCAGUGUUGCUGUGGCUGUGAUGUCGGCCUGCAGCUGCAACUUGGCCCCUGGCCUGGGAAGUUUCAUAUGCCAAAGGUAUGGCCAUAAAAAGAAAAAGAAUUGCUCAAAACAGAUGUAUGUAAAGUUCUGAAUUGUUCUGAAAACCCACAUGCUCUAUAACCAGGUCUAGGAUGUGGCCUAACCUAAUUCCUGUGUCCAGUCGCCUGGGCCAGGCUAAGGGGCUUUGCAGGACUUGUAAAAGCUCAUGUAGCUUUUAAAUCCUUGGGUUCAAGUUGUACAGGCCUUCCCCUUACAGUAAUCUUACCUUUUUUUUUUAAUCUCCACCCUGACAUCCAGCCCUGACAUAGGCUGCAUGUAAGAUUUGAUGGUUGAACAAGUAAGAGCAGGGACUACUGGGCUGCACUGCCUUUUGUGCCAGCAGCCCUAACUUACACUGUUCCUAGCUGCCCCGUAAAUUUUAACAGCACUUUUGUAGUAAUAAGACUGUACUCACAUCCUAGUAGCAUUCACAUAUCUAUUUAUCUUAUCUAUCCUCAGCUGUAAACUUCUAGCCGGCAGAAUGAAUUUGGCCUAUGUGCUGCUUUGACUUAUGUUAUGGUAUAAAAACCGGAAAAUCUCACAUGAAAAUCCUGAUUUGGGAUAACACCCACACUCCUGCACAGUAACUGUCAACACAAGUGAAAAAUCCUAAUGUUAGACUAGUCCAUGUUGUAAGCAGGGUAGAAUAAUAUAACACAUUUAAUUGUGUGUGGACAACACACCAAAAAAACCCCUAGAGUUCCCGUCGUGGCUCAGCGGAAAGGAAUCUGACUAGCACCCAUGAGGACACAGGUUCAAUCCCUGGCCUCGCUUAGUGGGUUAAGGAUCCAGCAUUGCCAUGAGCUGUGGUGUAGGUUGCAGACAUGGCUCGGAUCUGACAUUGUUGCGGCUUUGCUGGAGGCUACAGCUCCGAUUGAACCCCUAGCCUGGGAACCUCCAUACCUCUCGUAAAAAGACCUUUGCCAGCUCUGUCUUACACAAGUAAUAACAGAGGGAGUACUUUGGCCUAACACUCGAGUGUAUGUCCCCCAGCACCCAGGUAAGGGCCUCAGAUACUGUCACUAAAAAAGAGCAGGUGCAAAAGAAAAAAAUGCCUCCCUAGGGAUGUCUACAUCCCAGCCCCCUAAACCUAUGAAUACCUUACAUGGCAAAAGGAACUUUGCAGGUGUAAUUAAGGGACUUGGGGUGGGAAAGUUGUCCUCAAUUACCCAAUGGCCCCAGUGUCAUCACAAGGAUCCUUGUAAGGAGGCCAUGAGUCAGAAUUGGAGGUAAGGAGUUCCCAUCAUGGCUCACUGGAAAUGAAUCUGACUAGUAUCCAUGAGGACACAGGUUUGAUCCCUGGCCUUGCUCAGUGGGUUAAGGAUCCAGCUUUGUCAUGAGCUGUGGUGUAGGUCAAAGACGAGGCUUGGAUCUGGCACUACUGUGGCUGUGGUGUAGGCCAGGGGCUACAGCUCAGAUUUGACCCCUAGCCUGGGAACUUCCUUAUGUUGCUGGUGGGGCCAUAAAAAGACAAAAAAAAAAAAAAAAAAAAAAAAAGAAUUGGAGCUGACUGUGGAAGCAGAGGUUGGGGAGAUAUGGCCGAGGAAUGUAGGUGGCCUCUAGAAGCUGAAAAAAGGCAAGGAAUUUCCCCUAGAGCCUCCAGAAGGAAAGCAGCCUCCUUUUUCCUUUUAGUCCUGUAAGACCCAUUCCAAACUUGUGACCUCCAAAAAAUACUCCCAAAAUACUGUUUUAAGCCACUAAGUCUGUAGUAACUUGUUACAGAAGUAACCUGAAACUUACACAAAUUUCAGGACCUGGGAGUUGGGUGCUGCUGCAACAAAUACCUAAAAAAUGGUUUUGGAACUGGGCAGUAGGGAGAGGCUGGGGGAAUUAUGAUAGAGAACAACCUAGAAUGUUCUGCAGGUUGUUGGUAGAAACUUAGCUGAAUUGUGCCCCACAGUUAAGUUUCUGGUUUUUUUCUAGAGCCCCACCUGCAGCAUAUGUAAGUUCUCAGGCUAGGGGUUGAAUCAGAGCUACAGCUACCGGCCUACACCACAGCCACAGCCAUGCCAGAUCCAAGCCACAUCUGUGACUGAGACCACAGCUCAGAAAUGCCAGAUCCUUAUGAACCCCACUAGUACCCAUGAGGAUGCAGGUUCAAGGCCAGGGAUCCCACAACGGGAGGCCAGAUCCCACAACGGGAACUCCAAGAUAAACUGUUCUGAGAGAGGGUUCAACCUCACUUCUAGCACCUUAGUUUUUAAUUAACUUUGGGCUUCUGUGUCCCAACCUAGUUAACCAGCCAAAAAUACCAGACUCCCACACUGCUGAUGAGAUGGCAUUCUUUAGGGCCAAAUAAAAGGGUUUUGCUUUUUCUUUUUCAGCUGCACCUGCAGCAUAUGGAAGCUCCUGGGCCAGGGAUUGAAUCCAAGCCAGAGCUUAUCUAUAGCACGGCUGCAGCAACACUAGAUCCUUAACCCAUUGCUGGGGAUUGAACCCAAGCCUCCAGAGACAAGCUGGAUCAUUAACCCACUGUGCCGCAGCAGGACCUCCUGGAGUAAGACUAUAUAGCAUCCAGUAAAGGGGGAACAUGGUAGAAUCUUUAGGAAGAUGUAAGACGGAAAAAACCCAAAGUUGUAAGAAAAAAUUUAGUUAUUAGUAAAACUGUUAUAUUU